GCGACACUAGCUCAGUUGGUAGAGCGCAACCUUGCCAAGGUUGAGGAGACGGGAUCGGCACUCGUGUGUCCCUCAA
This 76-nucleotide transfer RNA is filed under the name Photobacterium damselae subsp. damselae. Its description in RNAcentral is "tRNA-Gly". It matches the Rfam family "tRNA". From Rfam's summary of the family: Transfer RNA (tRNA) molecules are approximately 80 nucleotides in length. Their secondary structure includes four short double-helical elements and three loops (D, anti-codon, and T loops). Further hydrogen bonds mediate the characteristic L-shaped molecular structure. tRNAs have two regions of fundamental functional importance: the anti-codon, which is responsible for specific mRNA codon recognition, and the 3' end, to which the tRNAs corresponding amino acid is attached (by aminoacyl-tRNA synthetases). tRNAs cope with the degeneracy of the genetic code in two manners: having more than one tRNA (with a specific anti-codon) for a particular amino acid; and 'wobble' base-pairing, i.e. permitting non-standard base-pairing at the 3rd anti-codon position. Lineage: Bacteria; Pseudomonadati; Pseudomonadota; Gammaproteobacteria; Vibrionales; Vibrionaceae. The record is from RNAcentral.